This 1343-nucleotide ribosomal RNA is filed under the name uncultured bacterium. RNAcentral's name for it is "16S ribosomal RNA". It matches the Rfam family "Bacterial small subunit ribosomal RNA", at positions 28 to 1378 of the family's 1533-position model. The record is from RNAcentral.
GACGAACGUUUGCGGCGUGCUUAACACAUGCAAGUCGAACGGAAAGGCCCUGCUUUUGUGGGGUGCUCGAGUGGCGAACGGGUGAGUAACACGUGAGUAACCUGCCCUUGACUUUGGGAUAACUUCAGGAAACUGGGGCUAAUACCGGAUAGGAGCUCCUGCUGCAUGGUGGGGGUUGGAAAGUUUCGGCGGUUGGGGAUGGACUCGCGGCUUAUCAGCUUGUUGGUGGGGUAGUGGCUUACCAAGGCUUUGACGGGUAGCCGGCCUGAGAGGGUGACCGGCCACAUUGGGACUGAGAUACGGCCCAGACUCCUACGGGAGGCAGCAGUGGGGAAUAUUGCACAAUGGGCGGAAGCCUGAUGCAGCAACGCCGCGUGCGGGAUGACGGCCUUCGGGUUGUAAACCGCUUUCGCCUGUGACGAAGCGUGAGUGACGGUAAUGGGUAAAGAAGCACCGGCUAACUACGUGCCAGCAGCCGCGGUGAUACGUAGGGUGCGAGCGUUGUCCGGAUUUAUUGGGCGUAAAGGGCUCGUAGGUGGUUGAUCGCGUCGGAAGUGUAAUCUUGGGGCUUAACCCUGAGCGUGCUUUCGAUACGGGUUGACUUGAGGAAGGUAGGGGAGAAUGGAAUUCCUGGUGGAGCGGUGGAAUGCGCAGAUAUCAGGAGGAACACCAGUGGCGAAGGCGGUUCUCUGGGCCUUUCCUGACGCUGAGGAGCGAAAGCGUGGGGAGCGAACAGGCUUAGGUACCCUGGUAGUCCACGCUGUAAACGGUGGGUACUAGGUGUGGGGUCCAUUCCACGGGUUCCGUGCCGUAGCUAACGCUUUAAGUACCCCGCCUGGGGAGUACGGCCGCAAGGCUAAAACUCAAAGGAAUUGACGGGGCCCCGCACAAGCGGCGGAGCAUGCGGAUUAAUUCGAUGCAACGCGUAGAACCUUACCUGGGUUUGACAUGGAUCGGGAGUGCUCAGAGAUGGGUGUGCCUCUUUUGGGGUCGGUUCACAGGUGGUGCAUGGCUGUCGUCAGCUCGUGUCGUGAGAUGUUGGGUUAAGUCCCGCAACGAGCGCAACCCUUGUUCACUGUUGCCAGCACGUUAUGGUGGGGACUCAGUGGAGACCGCCGGGGUCAACUCGGAGGAAGGUGGGGAUGACGUCAAGUCAUCAUGCCCCUUAUGUCCAGGGCUUCACGCAUGCUACAAUGGCUGGUACAGAGAGUGGCGAGCCUGUGAGGGUGAGCGAAUCUCGGAAAGCCGGUCUCAGUUCGGAUUGGGGUCUGCAACUCGACCUCAUGAAGUCGGAGUCGCUAGUAGUCGCAGAUCAGCAACGCUGCGGUGAAUACGUUCCCGGG